UUUAACGUAAAUGUUGAAAAUUUAGCGGUAUUGAAAUACGGAAAAAUUACGGGUACUUCGCUCCUAAAGGUAUGGUACGACCUUACUGCGACGAAUGUCACCUUGGUGGAUCUGGAAUCUUGUUAUACCCAUCGCAGGAAUUUGGAUGCCGACGACUCACGAUCAUCCUCGGAAUCAAUCGUGGGAUAAAAAUGCAAUUGGGAAAACUUAAUGAAAAUAGAGUUUUCCAUCAUAAAAACCGUGAAAAUAGCGGGACAAAAGUUGAUCACAUGUGUUCAAGAAAACCGGCUGUACAGGAAAACCGCGGGAAACCGAAUUACGAUUUAUAUUAUAUUUUGCCACACAAGAUGACUCUUCAUUUAACAAGGCUUCCCAAAUUUUAGGCAUUUGUGGUUCUUUACUGUCUUAAGAUCAACCAGGGCUGAAAAUAAUGAAGGCCAGGGGCUACAACAUAGUCAAUGGAGAACUAGGUAUAACCUAUAAGAAAUCGAACCCUCCAUGGUACUAUCCGGCUAGAAAUCUUUUUAAGUUGGUUUCAUUAGGUAUGUUUACGAUUACAAGCCCCUCGUGACCCACAGGUAAAGCUUAAAAUGUACCUUUUUGUUAUGUAAAUUAUAAAAUUAGAGGUUAAAUGUUAACGGAGCAAAAUUAUCGUAUAUUACAUAUUAAGUUUUCCUAUAAAAUACUGCCUGGGCUAACCUUUAUUACUAUAAAAUAAAGACAAAAUCUUGUAACUUCGUUACAUCGGAGAGAAAUAUACUGUUCAAUAUCUGUUUCUUGGAUAAAUUCUGCUUUAUUUACAUGUUGAAGUCAAUGGACACCACUUUCGAUACUAGAGCGCCACUAAUCCUCAUUUAUUUCGAGAAAAAAUUGCGCGGCGACCUCAAGAACCUAAUGUAUGGGCUGGUAUCCUGGGAAAUAAUUUUAUUGGCCAUUUUACUAAUACAAAUCUUAAUGCUGAAAAUUACUUAGAACUUCUGCAGGACGCAAUUAAUCCCAGAAUAACUGAGUUUCUUCAACAAGAUGAUAACCUUCUAGAAAAUAAACUAAUGCUUCGAUUUCACCAUCACAUUAUGCUGCUGCCAUUCGUCAUUUUUUUGAACGACGUAUUUUCUGGAUGAUGGAUUGGUCGGAGAGGUACAGUAGAAUGGCUUGCUAGAUUUUCUGAUCUUACCCCCUUGGAGUUUUUUUGGGAUCAUCUAAAAAUCAAAGUCUUUGCCACAAAGAUUGAAUUGAACAAUUAACCUUGGGGAUAAGUAGAAUUGUUAACGAAUAAUAACAAAUAAUGAAAUUGUUAAAAACAAGUGAAGUCAACGAAGGUCAUUUUUAAAAUUUAAUAAAAUAGGUGUUAAACGGUUUUAAUUUUUUCCUUUAACAUAAGGUUAAUUGUUUUCAUGCACAUUUAUUCAUAUUUCUUAAAAAAAUUAGAAAUAGGGAUAUGUAGAGAAUAAAAUAACUUUCAAUUCAAGAUAUUACUCGACCAUUUAAAUGAAAUUACAUAGAGGC
Molecule: long non-coding RNA, 1506 nt
Organism: Anthonomus grandis grandis
Lineage: Eukaryota; Metazoa; Arthropoda; Insecta; Coleoptera; Curculionidae
Exons: 3
Source: RefSeq, a predicted model, not a curated record